GUCUUCCCUGGGUGGUGUAGUUGGUUAUCACGCUAGUCUCACACACCAGAGGUCCUCGGUUCGAAUCCGGCCUCAGACA
This is a non-coding RNA of Macadamia integrifolia, 79 nucleotides long. The record is from the annotation of a RefSeq genome assembly. NCBI's taxonomy places the organism in Eukaryota, Viridiplantae, Streptophyta, Magnoliopsida, Proteales, Proteaceae.